Molecule: ribosomal RNA, 520 nt
Filed under: uncultured Glomus
Lineage: Eukaryota; Fungi; Glomeromycota; Glomeromycetes; Glomerales; Glomeraceae
Description: SSU rRNA
Rfam family: Eukaryotic small subunit ribosomal RNA
Source: RNAcentral
AGCAGCCGCGGUAAUUCCAGCUCCAAUAGCGUAUAUUAAAGUUGUUGCAGUUAAAAAGCUCGUAGUUGAAUUUCGAGACCGGCUUACUGGUCGUGCUAUUGUACGUACUGGUAUAAUCGGUUUCUCCUUUCUGACGAACUAUAAUGCCAUUAAUUUGGUGUUAUAGGGAAUCAGGACUGUUACUUUGAAAAAAUUAGAGUGUUUAAAGCAGGCUCACGCUUGAAUACAUUAGCAUGGAAUAACGGAAUAGGACGUUUGAUUCUAUUUUGUUGGUUUCUAGGAUCGACGUAAUGAUUAAUAGGGAUAGUUGGGGGCAUUAGUAUUCAAUUGUCAGAGGUGAAAUUCUUGGAUUUAUUGAAGACUAACUACUGCGAAAGCAUUUGCCAAGGAUGUUUUCAUUAAUCAAGAACGAAAGUUAGGGGAUCGAAGACGAUCAGAUACCGUCGUAGUCUUAACCAUAAACUAUGCCGACUAGGGAUCGGAUGAUGUUAAUUUUUAAUGUACUCAUUCGGCGCCUUAC